Molecule: microRNA precursor, 138 nt
Filed under: Podarcis lilfordi (Lilford's wall lizard)
Lineage: Eukaryota; Metazoa; Chordata; Lepidosauria; Squamata; Lacertidae
Source: RNAcentral
CAGGGAUGAUGGGAAUUGUAGUCCCAAAACAUCUGGAGGACCAAGUUUGGGGGUGCCUGUUGUAUUGUGUCCUUAUUCUACAACAGGCAUCCCCAAACUUGGCCUAGAUGUUUUGGGACUACAACUCCCAUCAUCCCU